RNAcentral lists this ribosomal RNA (439 nucleotides) under uncultured bacterium. RNAcentral describes it as "partial 16S ribosomal RNA". It matches the Rfam family "Bacterial small subunit ribosomal RNA", at positions 339 to 795 of the family's 1533-position model. The record is from RNAcentral.
CUACGGGCUGCUGCAGUGGGGAAUCUUAGACAAUGGGCGCAAGCCUGAUCUAGCCAUGCCGCGUGAGUGACGAAGGCCUUAGGGUCGUAAAGCUCUUUCGCUGGGGAAGAUAAUGACGGUACCCAGUAAAGAAACCCCGGCUAACUCCGUGCCAGCAGCCGCGGUAAUAAGGAGGGGGUUAGCGUUGUUCGGAAUUACUGGGCGUAAAGCGCGCGUAGGCGGAUCAGAAAGUUGGGGGUGAAAUCCCGGGGCUCAACCCCGGAACUGCCUUCAAAACUCCUGGUCUUGAGUUCGAGAGAGGUGAGUGGAAUUCCGAGUGUAGAGGUGAAAUUCGUAGAUAUUCGGAGGAACACCAGUGGCGAAGGCGGCUCACUGGCUCGAUACUGACGCUGAGGUGCGAAAGCGUGGGGAGCAAACAGGAUUAGAUACCCUAGUAGUC